GUAGGGGGCAAGCGUUAUCCGGAUUUACUGGGUGUAAAGGGAGCGUAGGUGGCAUGGCAAGCCAGAAGUGAAAACCCGGGGCUUAACCCCGCGGAUUGCUUUUGGAACUGUCAGGCUGGAGUGCAGGAGGGGCAGGCGGAAUUCCUGGUGUAGCGGUGAAAUGCGUAGAUAUCAGGAGGAACACCGGUGGCGAAGGCGGCCUGCUGGACUGUAACUGACACUGAGGCUCGAAAGCGUGGGGAGCAAA
This 247-nucleotide ribosomal RNA is filed under the name uncultured bacterium. RNAcentral's name for it is "partial 16S ribosomal RNA". It matches the Rfam family "Bacterial small subunit ribosomal RNA", at positions 527 to 772 of the family's 1533-position model. The record is from RNAcentral.